Molecule: long non-coding RNA, 510 nt
Organism: Sus scrofa (pig)
Lineage: Eukaryota; Metazoa; Chordata; Mammalia; Artiodactyla; Suidae
Source: RefSeq, a predicted model, not a curated record
UUCCCACACCGCCAGGCCCAGGCCCUUCUGGGAGCUGAAAAGCGUUAACGCCUUCAAUACAGGUAGCCUAAGGGUUAGAGUCGGUUACGUCAACUUAAGUAUUUUCAGUCAGAGACAAGAGAAAAGAUUUCAGACAGCACCAUGGUGGCGAAAAUGGAGGAGGUGUUGAAUGAAGAAAAACGCGCGACCUAAAACUUCCGAAGUUUGUUUGGACCUUAAGCGAGCUUGGGAAGUAGCCUCUAAGAGAGCUCCGAGGACUGUUCCAGAGAGUUUAAUAUUGCCAUGAAUUGCCUCAAGACUGGACUUUCCUUGUGGAACCCUGUCACCUUUGCCCAGGUAACUAAUGGCACCUUGUUCACGAAUUCGGGAAUCCUUUGGUGAAUUCCGUUCUCAAACCAGUGCUCUGGACAUCGUGUCUGUUACAGCAUGGUCAAUUAUCUUCACAUUGGAAAGGAGUGAACAAACAUCACUAUUUUGAUGGAACUGAGCUCCUAACUAGUAGAGUAAUGG